CCUACGGGAGGCUGCAGUGGGGAAUAUUGGACAAUGGGCGAAAGCCUGAUCCAGCCAUGCCGCGUGUGUGAAGAAGGCCUUCGGGUUGUAAAGCACUUUCAGUGGGGAAGAAAGCCUUGGGGCUAAUACCCUCGAGGAAGGACAUCACCCACAGAAGAAGCACCGGCUAACUCCGUGCCAGCAGCCGCGGUAAUACGGAGGGUGCGAGCGUUAAUCGGAAUUACUGGGCGUAAAGCGCGCGUAGGCGGUCUGAUAAGCCGGUUGUGAAAGCCCCGGGCUCAACCUGGGAACGGCAUCCGGAACUGGCAGGCUAGAGUGCAGGAGAGGAAGGUAGAAUUCCCGGUGUAGCGGUGAAAUGCGUAGAGAUCGGGAGGAAUACCAGUGGCGAAGGCGGCCUUCUGGACUGACACUGACGCUGAGGUUCGAAAGCGUGGGUAGCAAACAGGAUUAGAUACCCUAGUAGUC
This 465-nucleotide ribosomal RNA is filed under the name Vreelandella stevensii. RNAcentral's name for it is "partial 16S ribosomal RNA". It matches the Rfam family "Bacterial small subunit ribosomal RNA", at positions 338 to 795 of the family's 1533-position model. The record is from RNAcentral. Lineage: Bacteria; Pseudomonadati; Pseudomonadota; Gammaproteobacteria; Oceanospirillales; Halomonadaceae.